CAAAUGGCGGCUUUGGGCUUGCCCUUAGCCACGUUUGAUCGAGUGUCGGCU
Molecule: ribosomal RNA, 51 nt
Filed under: Gyrodactylus arcuatus
Lineage: Eukaryota; Metazoa; Platyhelminthes; Monogenea; Gyrodactylidea; Gyrodactylidae
Also listed under: 8 other names
Description: partial 5.8S ribosomal RNA
Source: RNAcentral